Molecule: ribosomal RNA, 253 nt
Filed under: uncultured bacterium
Lineage: Bacteria
Description: partial 16S ribosomal RNA
Rfam family: Bacterial small subunit ribosomal RNA
Source: RNAcentral
UACGGAGGGUGCAAACGUUGCUCGGAAUUAUUGGGCGUAAAGCGCAUGUAGGCGGCCGAAUAAGUCGGGUGUGAAAGCCCAGGGCUUAACCCUGGAAGUGCACUCGAAACUGCUCGGCUUGAAUAUGGAAGAGGGUCGCGGAAUUCCCGGUGUAGAGGUGAAAUUCGUAGAUAUCGGGAGGAACACCGGUGGCGAAGGCGGCGACCUGGGCCAAUAUUGACGCUGAGAUGCGAAAGCGUGGGGAGCGAACAGG